Molecule: long non-coding RNA, 3024 nt
Organism: Brassica napus (rape)
Lineage: Eukaryota; Viridiplantae; Streptophyta; Magnoliopsida; Brassicales; Brassicaceae
Exons: 4
Source: RefSeq, a predicted model, not a curated record
UCAUAAACGACAUCGAUUAUAUCAUCUGAAUUCUACACAGGGAUAUAUCUCGGUAUAGUAUGGGAAGCGAAACACCUAUGCAUCCUUCACGGACUCCACUUCAUCCUUAUAUGACUCCAAUGCGGGACUCUGGAGCUACACCGAUCCAUGACGGUGUGAGGACACCCAUGCGUGAUCGAGCUUGGAAUCCUUACACGCCUAUGAGCCCACCUAGGUUCCUGCGGCUGAGUCUGUUCGUUUCGAAGACGCAGGACAUUGCCGCAGCCGCAGACGCGGAAAAUAGAUUUAGUUCUGUUAAUUUGGUUGCCGCAGACGCAAUUUUCUUUUAUUUCAUAUUUUAAUUUUAUGAAUUCGUAAAGUUGUAUUUUAAAUAAAUAAAAUGUAGAUUUAAAUUUGUAAAAUUGUAUUUUAAAUAAAUAAAAUGUAGAUUUAAAUUUGUAAAAUUGUAUUAUUUACAUUCAUCAAAAUAUUAUAUUUAAUUAGUAAUAAAUUUAACAACAUUUUUUUUAUCAUAAAUCAUUUUAUCACAAGCGUAUAUUCAUCUAUAAAAAUAUUAUUUACAUCUUUAAAAAUAUUAUAUUUAAUUGGUAAUAUAAUAAUAACUAAAUUAAGACAAAAACUAAUAUAUUAAAAUAUUUAUCACAAGGUCUACCUGUUGAGGAUCAAGUUGAUGUAAAAUAGCUUUUAAGAGUGUAUGUAAGACUAGCAAUUUCAUCAUAAUGUAAACUUAAUAUCUUUGUGAUGAAUCUAUAUGCACUUUCAUGUGGCAACAAAAGUUUAAAGCUUUUAGAUUUGUCAUUAAGAACCGAAUACAUGUGAUAAAAAGGAUGAACAGAGUGUACUUUACACGCAUGCCUUUAUGUAAAAAAACAACAUGAGGUGUAGCUUAUUUCAUUUGUGAAUGGAAAGAGUUAAAAGACAAAGAAGGAAUCUGAAUGUAAGAAAACAGGGGAAAGUCAUUGCAUGUAUUUUAGCUCUGUUUCUUCCCAGUGACACCAGCAAUAACCUGCAAAAAACCGCUUGAAGGAUUUAGUUUUGGCUAGACAUAACCAAGUACUAAACAAUGGGCUGACUAACAAGUCAAUUUUAUGCCCAAUCCUUGGUUUUGAAAGCAAUAAAACGUGAUAGUACAUGAGGGAAAGCAUAUAAAUUUACAGAGACACAUAAAUGAACAAGUAAAAUCACAAGAAUAAGAAGCAAAGCGAGGAAAAGCAAAAGCAUGGAGAUAAGUGUUAUGUACAACACACAAUAACAAAAAUACAGAACUUGGAAACAUAAAAACAAACGAAGAAAAUUUGCAAACACAAAGUAUAUAAGAAGGAGGGGCUUUAACUUGUUUGGAAGCCUCAAGUGAAUGUAAGAUAGGCCUUACAACAGCAGGCAGAAAGAGUCCUACAAACAAGAUGAGAAGAGAAACAGAACAUGUCACACAAGCAAACUCUUCACACACCAAAACUCAAGUUACUUAGACAAAUGCAGUCAGUAGAAAGAAUCCAGUAACAUAUAAAUAGGGAAAAGAGGGUACCUUUACUCCUGCCCACCAGUCAACAGUCCAGACAAGCUCUAGCCACAAGGUUUUGCAAGCACCCAGUUGAUUUUACGCCUCUCUUCAAGCACUUCUUUCCAAUAGCUGUGACAAAGUACAUAUCAAUACAGUAUCAGAGGGAACUGAUAGUUAUGAACAAAAGCAUCAGUAAACCAUCCCCAUCAGGCACAAACCCCUAUCCUAAAUGCUUUAGAACAAAGACCAUCACUAUCAGCUUCUUCUUGUCUUAGUUAUGAACUUGGAUCUUGGAUCCAAAACACACUCCAAAAAACUCAUAUGAAACACAAAAAUAGAGACAAGUGACAGUUACCUCAACUAUGCUUGAAACCCAAAUCGGAGGAGAAGAGAGAGCUCGUGCUGCGUCAGAGAGGAGAGAGCUCGAGGUCUUCGUCUGAGAUGGAGAUGAGAGAGCUCGAGGUCUACGUCGAAGAUGGAGAUGGAGAUGAGAGAGCUCGUGGCUGUGUGAGAUGGAGAUGAGAGAGCUCGAUGUCUGUAUCGGAGAUGGAGAUGGAGAAAGAUCGAGCAAGGUUGCGUCAAUUUGGAAAACAAGAUGCGGCUACGUCAAUUUAGGUUAGGUAUUUUUGUUAAUAUUGAAACAUAUUAAGGGCAAAAUAGUAAAUUACGUUAUCGGCCGCAUAAUUUACUUCGCAGCCGCGGGUUUUAUUGGCGUCAGCCGCAGGACGCGGCGUUCGGACGCAGGUCAGACGCAGCUUCUUGCGUCAAUCAAACGAACACGAAUUUUUCAAAACAUUGCCGCAGCCGCAGACGCAGGUAGCUGCGGCAACCAAACGAACAGCACUGUUGUCUGUUAUGUUACACAAACAUGGCCUCUGUUUCAAUAUUUACAGAAAUUCUUAACGCAUUUAUAAGAUUGGUGAAUCCGGAUCGAAGAAUAAACUUUUUGAAAUCUCAUAUUAUUGGUUGUUAUGACAUAAGGGAUAACUGGGAAGAAGGAAAUCCAGGAUCGCGGGGAACGAGUCCUCAAUAUCAAGUAAGAGUUAUACAUCUAUUGUUUUUGCUUUCAGCCUUACUAUUGUUGGUGAUAUGCGUAGUUUUGUGCUGAUUGUGAGUUAAAAUUGUUUGCUUGGCACUUGUUCCAGCCGGGAAGUCCUCCUUCACGGGCAUAUGAAGCACCGACUCCUGGCUCAGGAUGGGCUAGUACUCCCGGUGGUAGUUACUCAGAUGCAGGGAUGCCCAGAGAUCAUAGUUCGGCCUAUGGUAAGAUUCAUAUAAUCUUUUACAAAACAUCGACUGUGUUUGCUUAGCCAGUAUUUUUCUCACAUAUCUUGUCAUGCAGCUAAUGCCCCAAGUCCAUACAUACAAUCUACACCUGGACAACCCAUGACACCAAGCUCAACUUCAUACUUACCUGGAACUCCCGGAGGACAACCAAUGACUCCUGGAACUGGCCUCGAUGUCAUGUCUCCUGUUAUAGGUGGAGAUGCUGAAGCAUGGUUCAUGCCUGAUAUUUUGGUUGA